CCUACGGGAGGCAGCAGUGAGGAAUAUUGGUCAAUGGACGAGAGUCUGAACCAGCCAAGUAGCGUGAAGGAUGACUGCCCUAUGGGUUGUAAACUUCUUUUAUAUGGGAAUAAAAUGUUCCACGUGUGGGAUUUUGUAUGUACCAUAUGAAUAAGGAUCGGCUAACUCCGUGCCAGCAGCCGCGGUAAUACGGAGGAUCCGAGCGUUAUCCGGAUUUAUUGGGUUUAAAGGGAGCGUAGGUGGAUUGUUAAGUCAGUUGUGAAAGUUUGCGGCUCAACUGUAAAAUUGCAGUUGAAACUGGCAGUCUUGAGUACAGUAGAGGUGGGCGGAAUUCGUGGUGUAGCGGUGAAAUGCUUAGAUAUCACGAAGAACUCCGAUUGCGAAGGCAGUUCACUGGACUGCAACUGACACUGAGGCUCGAAAGUGUGGGUAUCAAACAGGAUUAGAUACCCGUGUAGUC
Molecule: ribosomal RNA, 460 nt
Filed under: uncultured bacterium
Lineage: Bacteria
Description: partial 16S ribosomal RNA
Rfam family: Bacterial small subunit ribosomal RNA
Source: RNAcentral